This 247-nucleotide long non-coding RNA is filed under the name Prunus persica (peach). RNAcentral's name for it is "long non-coding RNA (PPER_LNC008029)". The record is from RNAcentral. Lineage: Eukaryota; Viridiplantae; Streptophyta; Magnoliopsida; Rosales; Rosaceae.
UCAUAUUUGCUGUGAGAGAAAUCAGCUGUGAGAGAAAGUAGUUUAGCUUUUGGUAAACUUUUUGUUAGAAGUGUUGUUGGUAUUGAUUCCCACAUAAUCAUUAAACCCAACACCUCUUCGAAACUGAUUCCCGCAUAAUUAGGAAAUGAAAGCACCUCAUUAGUUGCUUUCUUUUAUAGCUUUCUCUCAUAGCAAUUUUUAACAAGAAGUGAUUUUCUCAUAGUUUACCAAACAGGCUUGACUUCCC